Molecule: RNase P RNA, 439 nt
Filed under: Algoriphagus sp.
Lineage: Bacteria; Pseudomonadati; Bacteroidota; Cytophagia; Cytophagales; Cyclobacteriaceae
Description: RNase P RNA component class A
Rfam family: Bacterial RNase P class A
About the family: Ribonuclease P (RNase P) is a ubiquitous endoribonuclease, found in archaea, bacteria and eukarya as well as chloroplasts and mitochondria.
Source: RNAcentral
CGUGCAAGUCGUCUUGUCGCUCCGAUAGUAUCGGGGAGGAAAGUCCGGGCAACAAAGAGCACCAUACUUCCUAACGGGAAGGGCUUUGACUGGUGACGGUCAAGGUACAGCUAGUGCCACAGAAAACAAACCACCAUUGGUUCUAAACAAGCUUCGCUUGUGUUGACCCAGAGGAAAGGGUGAAAAGGUGGGGUAAGAGCCCACCGCCUCUGCAGUGAUGAAGAGGGCAUGGCAAACCUUAUGGGUUGAAAGAUCAAAUAGGCCUCGGGCAAAGAGCUGCUCGUUCGAUAUCUUUUCUUUUGAAAAGAAUUCCGAGGUGGGUAGAUCGAUUGAGUCUUGAUGCAAAUCAAGAUCUAGAUAAAUGACAAGAGCAGAGUUCAAUAUCGAUUUGUUCGAACGAACUUUGUAACAGAACCCGGCUUACAGACUUGCACUUUUU